AGGUAGAUUAGCUCAGCCAGUAGCUCCAGCCAUAGUUCAGGUUAGUGAUCGAGGCAGAGGAAGAGGGUCAGUCCCUCAUUCUUCAGGUUCCCGAGGGACAAAUCCUGCCUGGAACCCGUGAGGGUGAGAGGAUGUUAAGAGCUGCUCACAGUGGCCGCCCCCAGGAGGUGUAACGGGCUGUGAGCGGUAACAGGGCCGGUCGUGCGGGGCCGGGCUGUUACAU
This 223-nucleotide long non-coding RNA is filed under the name Manihot esculenta (cassava). RNAcentral describes it as "long non-coding RNA (MESC_LNC013061)". The record is from RNAcentral. Lineage: Eukaryota; Viridiplantae; Streptophyta; Magnoliopsida; Malpighiales; Euphorbiaceae.